GAUGAACGCUGGCGGCGUGCUUAACACAUGCAAGUCGAACGCACAUAUCUUUCGGGGUGUGUGAGUGGCAGACGGGUGCGUAACACGUGGGUGACCUGCCCUAAAGUGGGGAAUAACUGUCCUAACGGACGGCUAAUACCGCAUAUGUUCACCGCUUCGGUGUGGUGAGUAAAGCAGCAAUGCGCUUUGGGAUGGGCCUGCGGCGGAUUAGCUAGUUGGUGGGGUAACGGCCUACCAAGGCGAUGAUCCGUAGGGGGCGUGAGAGCGUGGCCCCCCACACUGGCACUGAGAUACGGGCCAGACUCCUACGGGAGGCUG
This 318-nucleotide ribosomal RNA is filed under the name uncultured bacterium. Its description in RNAcentral is "bacterial SSU rRNA". It matches the Rfam family "Bacterial small subunit ribosomal RNA", at positions 28 to 351 of the family's 1533-position model. The record is from RNAcentral.